RNAcentral lists this ribosomal RNA (433 nucleotides) under uncultured bacterium. RNAcentral's name for it is "partial 16S ribosomal RNA". It matches the Rfam family "Bacterial small subunit ribosomal RNA", at positions 29 to 507 of the family's 1533-position model. The record is from RNAcentral.
AACGAACGCUGGCGGCAUGCCUAACACAUGCAAGUCGAACGAGACCUUCCGUUCUAGUGGCCCACGGGUGCGUAACGCGGGGGAACAUGCCCGUAGGUUCGGCAUAACUCUCCGAAAGGGGUGCUAAUAUCGGACAAUGUCUUCGGACCAAGGAUUUAUCGCCUUUGGGUGGUCCCGAGUUGCAUUAGCUGGUUGGUAGGGUACAAGCUUACCACGGCGACGAUCCAUAGCUGGUUUGAGAGGCUGAUCAGCGACACUGGGACUGGGACACGGCCCAGACUCCUACGAGAGGCGGCAGUGAGGGAUAUAGGACAAUGGGCGAAAGGCUGAACCAGCGAUGCCGCGUGAGUGAUGAAGGCCUUGGAGUUGUAAAGCUCUUUUAACUAGGAUGAUAAUGACGGUACCUGGAGAAUAAGCACCGGCUAACUCCGUG